GAUGAACGCUGGCGGCGUGCCUAAUACAUGCAAGUCGAGCGAACAGAUAAGGAGCUUGCUCCUUUGACGUUAGCGGCGGACGGGUGAGUAACACGUGGGUAACCUACCUAUAAGACUGGGAUAACUUCGGGAAACCGGAGCUAAUACCGGAUAACAUUUGGAACCGCAUGGUUCUAAAGUGAAAGAUGGUUUUGCUAUCACUUAUAGAUGGACCCGCGCCGUAUUAGCUAGUUGGUAAGGUAACGGCUCACCAAGGCGACGAUACGUAGCCGACCUGAGAGGGUGAUCGGCCACACUGGAACUGAGACACGGUCCAGACUCCUACGGGAGGCAGCAGUAGGGAAUCUUCCGCAAUGGGCGAAAGCCUGACGGAGCAACGCCGCGUGAGUGAUGAAGGGUUUCGGCUCGUAAAACUCUGUUAUUAGGGAAGAACAAAUGUGUAAGUAACUGUGCACGUCUUGACGGUACCUAAUCAGAAAGCCACGGCUAACUACGUG
RNAcentral lists this ribosomal RNA (497 nucleotides) under uncultured bacterium. Its description in RNAcentral is "partial 16S ribosomal RNA". It matches the Rfam family "Bacterial small subunit ribosomal RNA", at positions 28 to 507 of the family's 1533-position model. The record is from RNAcentral.